RNAcentral lists this non-coding RNA (28 nucleotides) under Rattus norvegicus (Norway rat). The record is from RNAcentral. Lineage: Eukaryota; Metazoa; Chordata; Mammalia; Rodentia; Muridae.
UAGAACAAACUGCAUAGCUGAGGAUGAC